This is a long non-coding RNA of Anser brachyrhynchus (Pink-footed goose), 1849 nucleotides long. NCBI's taxonomy places the organism in Eukaryota, Metazoa, Chordata, Aves, Anseriformes, Anatidae. The record is from Ensembl.
GGAAGGUUCACAGUGCUAUUUUUAAUGUUUGAAUCUACUAAUAGGCUGGAGCAAUAUGUCAUCCAGACCUAUUGCAAAUGAGGAGGAAGACAAAAAUAGACUGGUCGGAAAGGGAGAGGGAAAUCAUUCAAAACACGUCUAAGAAAGCUGGACAUAAUCAAGGACUGAAGCUUGUACCGAAAGUGGUAUACUACUACUGUGGUGGCUCUCCAGCAAAGCAGCCAUCUGGAUCCUUUGGAUGCCUCUGUCAGUUCCCCCCCACCAAUGUGCAACCUCUGCUCUUUGACUGCUUGGAGUUAUUAGAAGCAGCUGCAGGUUAAAUCAACUUUUGGCUUGCGCUAAGUUGCAUCAAGCACUGUUUUGCUACACAAAUGUGUAUAGGAUAGGAAACUUGGCUGCUGCUUCUGUGGGCAGGGAAAUACCAUACAAACCAGCAGACAAUUCCUGGGAGAAAGCCAGGAGCUGAAAUGCACAGGCUGCGUGUGAGGUGUCUGCUGCCUGUUCAUGCGGUUUUCUGCAGAUUGCAGUGUUCCUUUUCUAGCUUCCUAAACUCUGACAUCUCCUUAUUUCCCCCUCACCAGAGAGAAUAACCUGAUCCAAAGCACUUUCUAAUGAAUGUCAUUAGGAAGGAGUCAUUUAGCAGAGUUUGUUUAACUGCAAUAAGACCCGAACCAUCAUCACUUUAUAAUUUAUGUUCUUGCAUUUUACUUUUCAUCAGUUCUGCAGCUUGUGAACAGGCCAAUGAACAGUUGCUCUUCCAAAAUCCGAACUAACUUUGUCUCUGACAUGGUAUAACGUGUGUUUUCACAGUGCUUCAGUAACAACAUCUUGAUGGGAAAUGAAGAGCCGCUUUUCUUCCAGACAGAGCAGUUCGUUUAUCAGAUUUACAUACUUUUAUUUUUCCUGUGUGAAAAGCCUGAGUCAAAGAAGUCAGAGAGUUACUCAAACAGAUAAUUGUGCCAGCUUUCCUGGUCAGGCAAGUUUGAGCUCUCUUGCUGCUGAAUGAAGCAGAACAUACUUUUUGACAUUGCACCACAUUCGAACUCGGCUUAUUUUGGUUCUUUCUGCGAGGGAACAUUUCUUUUAUAACUCUCCUGAUGCCCUCCGAAAGGAAACUGUCAGCUGGAGCUGGAAGUACUUUAGUUGUCCAAGUGCCAAACCCUGAUUAGGGUAAAGAGAAAUGGGAUGAAAGCAGGUGAACCACACAGCAUUAACGUUUUAACGACUAUCUUGGUAGCUGGAAGUGCUGGCAUCGGGAGCGUCCGAGCUUUGGGGCUUUUCAGUGCCCUCUCCUUACUGACCAGCCCCACAGGGAGGGAGCACUGUCGUCCUGGUUUGCAGAUCAAAGACUGAAUCUGGGAAAUUAGACCCUACAAGGGCAUUCCUUUGGCAGUUCCUAACUCUUGGCUAGCUUGCUUCCAUGGGAAAAUUGAGGAGAGGAUGGAAAUGGGAGCUGGGUACCCAACAUCAGGCAUCUCACCGAGCUGUGUGGCUUCGGCAGCGGUGGGAGAGGGUGCUCCUUCCUCUCUCAUGCUCUCCCUUCAUAUGGCACUUUACAACCUAUUUUUUCCUAUUAAAAAAGGAAGAAAGGGGCUCUCCACACAUUCUGAAGAGCACUAAAUCCAAGAGCAGUAAAAAUUGUCUUAUUUUAUAAUUGCCUGUCAGAACCACGUUCCUACCCCUCUCUCAUACAAAGUGGGAACUUCCCAGAGACCAAGCCAGCCUCAGCGGUGGCAGCUAGCCAAUGUGCCAUGCCACACACCUGUUAAGAACACAAACUAGACUAACUGGCAACUCAAAUUGUUUUCCUUAAAAUAAAGAAUGAAUCAGCUACCUCGGAGUGAAAGAA